This 85-nucleotide transfer RNA is filed under the name Patescibacteria group bacterium. RNAcentral's name for it is "tRNA-Leu". It matches the Rfam family "tRNA". Rfam says of the family: Transfer RNA (tRNA) molecules are approximately 80 nucleotides in length. The record is from RNAcentral.
GCCGAAGUGGCGGAACUGGCAGACGCGUAGCUCUCAAAAAGCUAUGGACCUUGCGUCCAUGUGGGUUCGACUCCCACCUUCGGCA